RNAcentral lists this long non-coding RNA (592 nucleotides) under Musa acuminata (dwarf banana). RNAcentral describes it as "long non-coding RNA (MACU_LNC011097)". Lineage: Eukaryota; Viridiplantae; Streptophyta; Magnoliopsida; Zingiberales; Musaceae. The record is from RNAcentral.
CACAAUCUACUCUAUAUGCAGUUUUUAAGUUUCGCGGAUUUUGCGCACCAAUCUUCGCACGACGACGAACAUCUCUUUGGGAAUCGGGGAUUUUGUUUUCUUGUUCUUCCGCUGCGCAUGUGAUGUCGCCCCCAAGAUUUCCCAACAUAUUCUACCAAAUGUUUCACUAAAGUCAUUGGUAAACAGUUCUGCGUCCGGCCAUAUUAAAUUCUUUUGAGCAAGAAUGAGUGAUUUUUUAAUUUUUGUUUCCAUGAGAAUAGCAAUAUCACAUGCGGCAGACUUGAUUAUUCUGUUGAGCUCCCGAUAUUUUUCAGGCUUAUUAAUUCUACGAACAUUCCAGCAGAUUAUCUUCAUCAUAAAAAGAAAAUAAAUGGAAAAGAAAGUAAGGUAUUCACGACUUUAAAUAGAUAGUACCAUCUUUUUUCUUAUCCUUAGGUUUUGCAUUUUCCUCCUGCAUAAUAUCUUUAACUUUUGAGGCUUUAUUUCUAUAUUUAUCCACUUCAUCCACAACUAUCAAAUUUUUAAACUUUAUACCUUGAGUCUGUUAGGAUCGGAGCGGCACUAAAAGGCGAGGGGGUGAAUUAGUGCAGCG